RNAcentral lists this long non-coding RNA (2615 nucleotides) under Lathyrus oleraceus (garden pea). RNAcentral describes it as "Pisum sativum (pea) long non-coding RNA (PSAT_LNC031102)". Lineage: Eukaryota; Viridiplantae; Streptophyta; Magnoliopsida; Fabales; Fabaceae. The record is from RNAcentral.
CCUUCAACGUCCAAACCAAUAUGAUUUCCAUUCAAAACAAAAUCAUACAUUACAACCAAUUACCAUGAUAAACAUCCAAUUCCAUUAACCAUUAAAUAUCCAACUUACAAUCUCAAGCAAAUUCCUUCAUUACCAUAUUCAACCAACUUACAAUACAAACAUGCCAUUGUAUAAUUACAAUAUGAAUCAUACAUUACAAAACCAUAUAGCACAAGAUCCAUUACAUUAAUCUAAUCACCUACGACCUAAUGUCAAAUUGUGUACAUCGCCAUUUCAAACCUCAUCACCAUAAAAGCAAAGUUCAAAGUCUUCUACAUUUCCAAUGGUCCGUAGAAGUUCCUAUCCGCCUUGAUCCAUGCCAACAUGUCCAUGAUAAUAGCUCCAUAUGACAUCCUGCCGUGAUCCAUUCCACAAACAGUCCAAGCAAAGUCAUGGUAGCCAAACACAUACAACCUGCAUCAUAAACAAUUCCAAAACAUCACAUAUCAAUUCAUGAAAAAAACCCAUCAUUCAUAAUUGCUAAGCAUACUGACAUCCUAUAACGUUUUCACUUGCAAGAAAUGCAUCUUAUUAACAACAAUCCAAGCAUUAUAACAUAGCUUACAUAACAUUCAUCAUCACUAAUUUACCAUGACAACGAAUUCCCAAAGCAAUGCAUCAAACCUAAUAACUAACAAUCAUAUUAGAAACAACGAAACUCACCACAAGAAAAGAAAUCCAUAUGCUAAUUAACCUGCCUUGAAAAUCAAACAAAUUGACAGAGUUUCCAUCAAACAAGAACGGUGCGUCACCAUGUACGAUCCUCCCAACGACGUUACGUACCAAUCCUGCAGCAUUCAUGGGACAUGAUUAAUUGCCAAAAAUGAAAAGAAUUAACUAAGAGCUUCGCAACCAAAUGGCGACAGGAACACAUAUCACUGAUAUAACAAUUCUAGUCUAGCAAUAUGCAAGUCAUGAAUAACAAGGUGCAAGUAAAGUUCAUUGGAUCCAUGUACUUAAUAUGACGAACCCAAUGCGGAAACGCAUCCAAACAAGAAAUUAACCUACUAUAAACAAAGGCAUCAGAACUCACAACAUCAUAACACACUUAGCUUCUCCAAAGGUCAGUACCGAAAGCGAAAUCGCAGAUAAAAGUUUCUCGAGUGAAGGUGGCAAUAGAAAUCGUCCAAUUACCUCAGAGUUAUUGUCGAGACGUGGGUUGGCCCCAGAUUUUUGUCACUUAUCUGCUUGAUAGUACCCUCGAGGCAAUCAUAAACGACUUGGAGCGCUUCAUUUCCCCCCAUAUUUACCACGUCUGGAUGAUGGAAUAGCCUGCAAAAAGGGAACACUGAUAGUGGGAUGUUUUAAACUAGGCUAUUGGAAACCAAUUGAAAGCAAAAACACAAAGACCUCACCAUUACAACAUAGGUAAUGUCUGUAACAAUCUGUGAUAGCUGCCUCGCAAAUCCGAAGUGAGACCUGCUUUCACAUGUUGUACCAGUCUAGAGUUCCUUGACCAUCAUGAAGUCAUUUGCGAAAAACUCACUAUGCAUUUUUCUCUGCAGCACGCCAAGCUAGAGCUUCAAUGUAUAUAACCCUGCAAAGAAUUAAUUGCAAAAACUCACUCAUUAAAUCACAAACGGAGGCGGACCAUUCUAACUAACCUAAGGGUAACCCAUUGGAUCAUUACUCAACCAAUUGAGCUGGUAGUUACAACAAAUUAACCACCCUAACAGAUUUGUGAUUUUUCUAACUAACUCGAGUUUGGGGUGAAGACGAAUGGGAAUUUCAAAAUUGAAUAACUAAAAAGGUUAUAAAUACUCACCAAGCCUCAUUCACAAAGGAUCGAAUUUUUGGAUUCUCAAUCUCCUUUGCAAUUUUCGCUGCCCCUUUCUCUUACCUUCACUUCAAAGCUCAUUCUGGAUUGUUUUUCAGAGCUCCCCAUUGAAGCUACGAAACAAUAAGAGCUAAACCUAAUUUUCCGAGAUAAGAAGAAGAAGAAGAACGCGAGGUCACAAAGGAUUCAUAUCGGAAACGCCGUCAUCCUUGGUCCACAUCGUCAUCUUCACUCUUCAACGACUUCCAGGACAGAUCUUCAUUCUGCAGGUAGGCUCGAUCCACCUUUCUUUCUUAAUCUUUUUCUCAUAGGCGUGUGUAAUCACCCGAAGUAGUGGAAUCCCUAACACGAGAGGCUCUAAUUCCCUUAUAUUCUCGCCUAUUUCAGGCUUCAAGACCUAGGGUUUGGUAUCGACUGAAGAUUGGUAGCUAAGACCGGUUUGUUGGUGUGGAAUUUCGAGAAGGGUGUCUAUCAUCAAGAUUUGGUGGCCGCGAUUCACUGUUUGUAUUUUACCGACACGAUGGCGUUUUCUAUUAGUGGAGAAUGAGAAGACGAGAGGGAAAGAAUGAUGUUUUUAAAUAUAAAUAGUGAAUGGUCCAUCCCUAAUAUCUUCAUGCGUGUUUAAUAUUUGGUGGCUAGUUAAUGAGUUUUUAAUCCCAAGACUUAUUGGUAAACGAUUAGUGUAAGACUCCAAUUUUGACCCUAAGAUCCCUCAUGCAAUUUCAUCACAUACAUUAGCAUUGGAAUCAUACUUUGGCAUCCUCCUUACCCCUCUCUCAUUGGGUUUUCUUUGGGAGAG